Long non-coding RNA from Heterocephalus glaber (naked mole-rat), 343 nucleotides. Lineage: Eukaryota; Metazoa; Chordata; Mammalia; Rodentia; Bathyergidae. The record is from Ensembl.
GACCCAGGCACCUGGAGGCUGAAGAACAUGUGCCAACAUGCUUCCAUAGUUGGGGCUGUUGAGAAGCCUUUGCCUGGUGUUUAUUGUUACCCAGCUCUCGCCUGUUAUAAGAAGAAGCCCUCGAAUGGAGCCACCCUGAGAGAACAGUCUCAGCAUGUUCUGAGCUCAAAGCAUAUGCUGAAAGAUGAAAAUCCUAAUUGCAGACUGAUGUGCCCAUGGUGUUUUGUGUAAGUGAAUCACUUGGCAAUACAAAGCAUAUUCCUGACAUUUUAAUAGAAGCCCUCAACACAUCAAUGACAUGAAAAAGACCAUCAUAUAAAAACAAUUCUGCUUUAUCGAUUCU